CGGACGGGUGAGUAACGCGUGGGUAACCUGCCUCAUACAGGGGGAUAACAGUUAGAAAUAGGUGCUAAUACCGCAUAAGCGCACGGCUCCGCAUGGGGCAGUGUGAAAAACUCCGGUGGUAUAUGAUGGAUCCGCGUCUGAUUAGCUAGUUGGCGGGGUAACGGCCCACCAAGGCAGCGAUCAGUAGCCGGCCUGAGAGGGUGGACGGCCACAUUGGGACUGAGACACGGCCCAAACUCCUACGGAAGGCAGCAG
RNAcentral lists this ribosomal RNA (255 nucleotides) under uncultured bacterium. Its description in RNAcentral is "partial 16S ribosomal RNA". It matches the Rfam family "Bacterial small subunit ribosomal RNA", at positions 99 to 354 of the family's 1533-position model. The record is from RNAcentral.